CAUUGAGGCAAAAUGGCGGGUGUGCUUUACUUCUUUCCAGGUGUAUAUUACAAGGUGUAGAGAGUCGAAAUGUAAUGCUCGUUUAUUUUAUUAUUUCGACGGUAAAUGCGAAUGGGUAAUUCACAUGUUUGAAAUAUAAAAGGCUUAGCAAAUGCACAUUAAGUUGCUGUAUUUUAUAGGAUAACUAGGGUAUGGGAUGCACAAACAGCAUAGCAUAAAGUAUGGAACCUUCCAUGACGAUAGAUGAACAGUUUGAGAGGUUGAAUGCAGCUAAACAUGCGACGUCUCUGAUGAAAAAAUACCUUACUAACGAAACAUUUGAAAAACUGAAAGAUAAAAAGACAAAGUUCGGUGGAACAUUAUCACAAUGUAUCAAUUCAGGUGUGGAACAACUUGAUGUAGAAAUCGGCGUUCGGGCAACUGACCCGGAUGCCUC
Long non-coding RNA from Ruditapes philippinarum (Manila clam), 436 nucleotides. RefSeq lists it as uncharacterized. The transcript is spliced from 3 exons. Lineage: Eukaryota; Metazoa; Mollusca; Bivalvia; Venerida; Veneridae. The record is from RefSeq and is a predicted model, not a curated record.